Molecule: transfer RNA, 79 nt
Filed under: Brachyspira pilosicoli B2904
Lineage: Bacteria; Pseudomonadati; Spirochaetota; Spirochaetia; Brachyspirales; Brachyspiraceae
Also listed under: 1 other name
Description: tRNA-Arg
Rfam family: tRNA
About the family: Transfer RNA (tRNA) molecules are approximately 80 nucleotides in length. Their secondary structure includes four short double-helical elements and three loops (D, anti-codon, and T loops). Further hydrogen bonds mediate the characteristic L-shaped molecular structure. tRNAs have two regions of fundamental functional importance: the anti-codon, which is responsible for specific mRNA codon recognition, and the 3' end, to which the tRNAs corresponding amino acid is attached (by aminoacyl-tRNA synthetases). tRNAs cope with the degeneracy of the genetic code in two manners: having more than one tRNA (with a specific anti-codon) for a particular amino acid; and 'wobble' base-pairing, i.e. permitting non-standard base-pairing at the 3rd anti-codon position.
Source: RNAcentral
UGUGCCUGUAGCUCAAUUGGAUAGAGCAUCAGAUUGCGGUUCUGAAGGUUGGAAGUUCAAAUCUUCUCAGGCACGUUUA